Molecule: long non-coding RNA, 3704 nt
Filed under: Homo sapiens (human)
Lineage: Eukaryota; Metazoa; Chordata; Mammalia; Primates; Hominidae
Description: non-protein coding lnc-ARL5A-1:1
Source: RNAcentral
AAUGAAUUCUCACAAGUCCAAUCGCUGUGUCAAAGCAUAUGGCCUUUUAAAAGGCUUUGGUAGCCUGUUGCCUAAUUGUCUUCCGAAAAGAUUCCCCACAUCCUGGUCAAUUCUUCAGCAUAUACACGGCCAUCUCUAUAUUAAGACACUUUAUAUUAAGAUUUGUAAACCUGUUGACUACUGUCACAGGCCACCACCACUCUGGGCAUCUUCAGGUCAUGCUACAUGUUCACCAGUCCUUCCAGCAGUGGGCAGUGCAAAGCUUCCCUCCGCCCACAAGGUUUCUGUGAUCUUUAGCCUUUAUUGUGCAGUUUACUUGUUAACCGGCUUAUAAUGUAUUCAGCCUAUGCUAAUCAUUGACUCCUUUUGGGAAGGGUAGAAGGUAAAAGAUGUAUACAAUCUCUCAGCUGACCUUUUUUUAAUGUUGGGGAAGAAUAAUGAACAACUUUUAUUAUCUACCAUAGACGGCCAGUCUUCUGCUUCUAGGAUGCUCUCCCACCAAUGUGUCCAUCUAUGCUGUCAGCCCUAAAUGCCAGUCCUGUGUAGGAAGUCCUGUGUUCAUUCAGAAAAGUCACCCAGUGUCCAUCCAUUUAUGUCCAUCAUAUUAAAAACAGUUGAGUUAUAUGAUAAAACAUGCUACCAUUAAAUAUUUUAACAGAUUUAAAUAAUAUGAGGAAAUUAUUAAUGGUUGUGACAUGUUAAACAGGAUAAACAAUUUUUUUAUAAUAUAAACUUUUACAUCUAUCAUCUGAAUUAUGCGAGAACAAAAAACAUAGAAAAAAGAUAGGAAAGUACCUUGGGAAGCUGAGGCCGGAGGACUGCUUGAGCCCAGGAACUCAAGAUCAGCCUGGGCAACAUGGCGAAACCCUGUCUCUACAAAAUGUUUUUUAAAUCUAGCCAGACAUGGUGACAGGUACCUUAUAGUCCCAGCUGCUCAGGAGGCUAAGGUGAGAGCAUCACUUGAGCCCAGGAGUUCAAGGCUGCGGCGAGCUGUGUUUGCACUCCAGCCUAGGUGUCAGAGUGAGACUAUGUCUUUAAAAAAAAAAAAAAGAAGAAAGAAAUGUAUUAUAACAUUAGGAGUUGUAGGCGGCAACAUUACAACCAGUAUUUUUCUGAUUACGAUUUUGUAUGUUACAGAUAUUCUAUAUUGAGCGCAUUAUACCAAUAAUCAGAAAACAUUGCUGAAUCAUUUUGUCUUUAAAGAAUCAUCUAAUAGGGAUGGGAAGGAAUACAAAAGUUGUAUUAAGUAAAUGGGAUGAAGCUCUCAGUUCAGAGAUCAAGAUGAUUGGGGGAUAAGAAGAAGAAAAACAUUCCUGCAGGACUGGUCUGGGCAGAAGAGGAGUUGUGGUAACUAGAUAUGAGGAGAAAGAGAGGAAGGAGGCACAGAGCAGUUGGAGCUUGCUGCCUGGAAGAAUGACGGUAUGAUAAAGAGAUGGGAUGAUGUGAAAUAAUUCACAUUGUUAAUUAUGAAGUGUGUUUUGAAUCACCUCAGUGUUACCCAGAAACGACACUCGGUUAUCAUGUUCAGAUAGGGGACAAUGUGUUUUUGCAGUGAUAGCAGUGGAGGGGAAGGGUUGUCAGCUUAAGGGGCAGUUGGUCAUUCUGUCAUCAAAUGAAUUAGUAGCAAGACUUGACCAGCAUUUGUGAAUAAUGAAGCUUUUCUUGCUGACAAACUGCUGAUGUUUACAUUGGGCCAUUAUAAUAGGCAAUUUAAUGUCAUUAAUGACCUUUAUAUAAAAAAUAACUCGUGAAUGAAUGAAUGUAGUGAACAUUAAGUACUGCUAAUAGAAAAAAAAAGGGCAAGGCUUCUUUGCCAACUUGGCAGAAUGAUCAUCAGUAUUUCUGCCUGUUCUUUGCCUCAGGUACACACAUAUUUAUUUUUUAGAGACAAGGUCUGACUGUGUUGCCCAGGCUGGACUUCAACUCCUCAGUACAAGUGAUCCUCCUGCCUGAGCCUCCUGAAUAGCUGGGACUACAGGCCUGCACCACCAUACCCUGCUCUAGUUACACAAAUCUUAAAAUGAUGCUGUUAUGUUAAUUCAAUUAAGAAAGUAAACUAGUUCUAUGAUCCAAGCACAUAGUUGUGACUCAAUUCAUGUUGUUGUUUUUAAUCCUGAAAUGAUAUUGUAAAAUAAGAGCUUUGCCUUAAAGUUUUUGUUACUCAGUUUUUACAUUUGAGGUAAGAAGGCAAGUGGCAGGGAAGAAUGAUUAGCAAUAAAGCUUUUUAAAAGUUCUUCAGAAACAGUAGACAAUUGGUUGAGUCAAAUUGACCUAUAAUGACUAUUCCCAGGAAUUUCCUAGUUCUUAUUCCUUUGGAAGGAAUUGUAACUACCUUAUGCCAUGUAAAGAAUGCUGCUAUUUUACGUUUAUUACAAAGAUGUGCCUACAGAUAAGAAUCAAACUGGAGAACUUUAAAAAUGUUUUAACUUUACCUGAUCUUUUUCUUAGAAAGCUAACUGUAAGUAGGAUAUGGUGCCAAGAAAAAUCAUCAGCCUGAUACUGUGAAAAAAAGACACCCUAUUAAUAUGCCCACAACAUUAUCAGCAAGCUAAGUAACAUCCCUGGACCUUAGUUUCAUUAUAUUUUUAACUAAGUAUGUAUCAGAGCCCUUAACACAAGCCCAAUAUAUUUUGGAACCUCAAUAAAUAGUGGUUUUGCUGAUUGUCUUUUUAACAAUUUCUAAAAUAUUGAAUACUGGUUAUUAUAAUUAAAUGUAUUCUAAACAUCUAUUCUUUCUGUCUCAUGCCUUGAUCUAGCCUGUUCCUUCCACCUAGAAUGCCUUUUCCUUCCUUUUCUCACAUAGCAAUCUUUGACAUAUCCUUGAAGACUGAGCUCUCCCAUCAGCCUGGGAGGCCUGGCCUGAUCUGGAAGACGGUUCAGCACGUCUUUCUCUGUUGCCAUAGUGCGGGAUUUUUGUCUAUUUUCAGCAGGUCGUUCCAGACUGCAAGCCUCUGGAGGGCAGUGACUCGAUCCCAUUCAGCUCCAUAUCCCCACUACCAGCAUGGCAUGCAUUGGGGGUGUCCAUACAUAUACAGAACAGAAACUUUCAGGGUUUGGCCAAUUUUACUUUUCCUUAGCAUGUAUUAUCAUAAAGUGAUGUAAGUACUAUAUGCCUGGAUUUGUCUUAUUACUACAUCUAUUUGUUAGUAAAAGGAGGUUACAUGUUGCCUUAGUGGUUUCUUUGCACUUAAAUAUUUUUUAAAUUAUUUGGUUCUUGGCUGGGAACUUAGUCCAAUAUGUCUGCUAAAGUAUUUCCCAUUUCUUGCCACCUCUACAAUAGUGCCAUAAUUUCCAAGUUGAUUUGACAUGUAUCAUCUUUAUUCUCACAAUCCUGAGAGGUAUAUAGAGCAAGAAUUAAGUUCUACAUUUAACAAAAGAGAAAACACACAGAGAUUGAUUGGCUCUAGGUUAUAUAGCUAACUGGUAACAAACCAAUUUUUAUUAAAAUUAAUUUUAAAAAUUUAACUUUUAAAGUUUAUCUUAAAUGAUGAACAUCGCUUGUGUUUUUCUUGCAUGUAGUUUCUAUUUUAGGAGAAUUUGCCUAGGGGUAGUUCUGAAACCAAGUAAAAGUAAUUGGAUUAUGAAGGUCUUCUACCUUAAACUAGCUGUCAACUUUAAACUCAACCAUUUAAUAAUUAAAUUUAAACUUUACAUUUGUUUAAUUUAGUAAUGUUUCUUCACAUUAAUCAAUUUUUCAAAUUAGG